UACAGAGGUCCCAAGCGUUGUUCGGAUUCACUGGGCGUAAAGGGUGCGUAGGCGGCGCGGUAAGUCGGGUGUGAAAUCUCGGAGCUUAACUCCGAAACUGCAUUCGAUACUGCCGUGCUUGAGGACUGGAGAGGAGACUGGAAUUUACGGUGUAGCGGUGAAAUGCGUAGAUAUCGAUAAGGAAGACCAGUGGCGAAGGCGGGUCUCUGGACAGUUCCUGACACUGAGACACGAAGGCCAGGGGAGCAAACGGG
RNAcentral lists this ribosomal RNA (254 nucleotides) under uncultured bacterium. RNAcentral describes it as "partial 16S ribosomal RNA". It matches the Rfam family "Bacterial small subunit ribosomal RNA", at positions 524 to 776 of the family's 1533-position model. The record is from RNAcentral.